RNAcentral lists this unclassified non-coding RNA (345 nucleotides) under soil metagenome. RNAcentral describes it as "partial contains 5.8S ribosomal RNA, internal transcribed spacer 2, and large subunit ribosomal RNA". The stretch from base 1 to 120 matches the Rfam family "5.8S ribosomal RNA", at positions 35 to 154 of the family's 154-position model. The record is from RNAcentral.
GAUGAAGAACGUAGCGAAAUGCGAUACGUAAUGUGAAUUGCAGAAUUCAGUGAAUCAUCGAGUCUUUGAACGCACAUUGCGCCCUCUGGUAUUCCGGAGGGCAUGCCUGUCCGAGCGUCAUUGCUGCCCUCAAGCACGGCUUGUGUGUUGGGCCCCGCCCCCCGAUCCCGGGGGGCGGGCCCGAAAGGCAGCGGCGGCACCGCGUCCGGUCCUCGAGCGUAUGGGGCUUUGUCACCCGCUCUGUAGGCCCGGCCGGCGCCUGCCGAUCAACCAAACUUUUUUCCAGGUUGACCUCGGAUCAGGUAGGGAUACCCGCUGAACUUAAGCAUAUCAAUAAGCGGAUGA